AUUGAACGCUGGCGGCAGGCCUAACACAUGCAAGUCGAACGGUAACAGGAAACAGCUUGCUGUUUCGCUGACGAGUGGCGGACGGGUGAGUAAUGUCUGGGAAACUGCCUGAUGGAGGGGGAUAACUACUGGAAACGGUAGCUAAUACCGCAUAACGUCGCAAGACCAAAGAGGGGGACCUUCGGGCCACUUGCCAUCGGAUGUGCCCAGAUGGGAUUAGCUAGUAGGUGGGGUAACGGCUCACCUAGGCGACGAUCCCUAGCUGGUCUGAGAGGAUGACCAGCCACACUGGAACUGAGACACGGUCCAGACUCCUACGGGAGGCAGCAGUGGGGAAUAUUGCACAAUGGGCGCAAGCCUGAUGCAGCCAUGCCGCGUGUAUGAAGAAGGCCUUCGGGUUGUAAAGUACUUUCAGCGGGGAGGAAGGGAGUAAAGUUAAUACCUUUACUCAUUGACGUUACCCGCAGAAGAAGCACCGGCUAACUCCGUG
Molecule: ribosomal RNA, 490 nt
Filed under: uncultured bacterium
Lineage: Bacteria
Description: partial 16S ribosomal RNA
Rfam family: Bacterial small subunit ribosomal RNA
Source: RNAcentral